Molecule: long non-coding RNA, 6352 nt
Filed under: Sus scrofa (pig)
Lineage: Eukaryota; Metazoa; Chordata; Mammalia; Artiodactyla; Suidae
Description: lncRNA (ENSSSCG00000056221.1)
Source: RNAcentral
UGGCUGUGGGGCAGGCCAGUGGCUGCAGCUCCAAUUUGACCCCUAGACUGGGAACUUCCAUGUGCCGCGAGUACAGCCCUCAAAAGACAGGUAAAAAAAAAAAAAAAAAAAAAUGAGUUGCAGAUAAAAGAGAAAAGCCCAUAUAGAGAGGAGAAGGAGGCUUUAAGGUUGGGCAAUAGCCCUAUUAUGCUAGGAAGUGAAAAACUCUGUGCUCUGCAGUCAAUGUACAGAACCCACCAGUUCUGUUGAUUUUAUCAUUAGACUGAAACUAACCCUAACCUCCAACUCAUGGAAACUAUUUGCAUCAAGUCAUUCUCCACUGAACAGAUAUUUCGGUUGCCAUGCUAAGACAAGGAAGAAAUAUCAGAAUCCAAGUGGAGCUGCUAACCACCCAUUAAAAUCUUAGUGCCUCCGUUGAAUCUUCCUGUGACUGAACUUGCAGAUUAUCAGACUCACACAGGGUUUUCAUUCCUCAAAGAGGAUUUAUGAUACAAUCUCCUUCUAUCCUAACUGGCCAGUGUCCAAUUCCAAAUGGAAUAUUCAAAAUUGAAGACACAGUAGAGGAAUAAUUAUAAAUUACAGAAAAUAAAAUAUCUGCUGUCUUUAUCUCUGAAGAAACAAAUAUUCAUCUCCUAAGGGACAAAACAAUCAGAAUGUUCUCUAGAAUAUAAUCAGCUUAAACCUUGCAUUCAGACUUGGCACAGUGGAAAUCUCCUCAGGUCUGACUUUCUAUGCGUGGUCAGUGGACCAGGAGCACUGGUAUUACCUGGGAGCUUGUUAGAAAUACUGACUCCCUGAUCCCAUCCCAGACCUACUAAAUUAGGAUCUUCAGUUUUAUAAAAUUCCCCGGUGAUGACUAUGCAUACAGAUAUUAGGAAGCAUUAUUCCAGAAGACUAAAAAGCAAGCUCAGGGCCUACCUUGGGGACGGUGAAGAGCUGUGGAAGACACAAGGCAGGAGUGGGGUGUCUAACCCUCUCCCACCUCCUCAACACCAGAACAGUUUAGCUUUGGUCAGAUUUUUGUAAGUGUUGAUGUUCCAUGUUAAACUUCUAAAAUGUAAUCUCUUGCUUACGGGAAAUUUGAAAGCCAUAACUUAGUGUGGCAAAAAGAACUAUGGUGAAUCCAAAAGCACCCUAGAGUGUUUCCCAACCUGCAGUCUGGGGUUCUUGGUGGAUAGAUCCAUGGAAAGACAUAGAUAGAGAUAGAGAUAGGGAUAGGGAUAGGGAUAGGGAUAGGGAUACAGAUAGAGAUAGAGAUAGAGAUACCUGUUUGGUCUGGACCUUUAAUUCUUAGUAUCUUAUACUAAUUUUAAAAUCUUUGUAGAUGCUAUUAAGACUAAUAAAACAGAUUCAUUUGAAAGUAUAAAUUUAAAAAGGAAUAAAAUAGGAGCUAAAGAAAGCUUGAUAAUGGUCAGCAAAUGGAGCAACAGAGAAGGAGGAACGCUAACUCAAAUCUAAAUUGCAGAACCCCAGAGGAAGAAAGGUUGUCCACCUGAUGAUGGUGAAUGUCAGUAAACAGUCAAAGAGAAGCAGGAAAAAAAUGUGUUCUAGGAGAUGCUGCAAUGUGACUUUCAGGCACUUCUUUAGCUGUCGGUUUAUUUGCCUGUCACAGGAAGCAGUUUGGUAGGUUAUGUCAUUUUAUAGCCAUAAUAACGUUCUGAGCCAAACCAGCUGCCUCAGCCUGUUGCUGUGACCUCAAAUGCAACAGAUGAGGACUGAGAAAAGAACAUUGGAUUUGGCAAUUAGGAGGUUAUUGGUGACCAUGGAGAGAUCAGCUUUAAUUGAGUAAUAAGGAUGAACACCAAACUGCUGUGGGGUGAGACGAUGGCAAAUUUAGAUGCUCUUUCACUCUAAAGAAAAGUUUGCUAAGACAGAGGGGGAAAAAGUAAUUGAAGAGAUACUAUAUUAGGGGUGAACUUUUUUAAGGCGGCAGAAAACUAAGCAAAAUUUUAAACUGAGGAAAACAAAAACAAUAGAAAUAUUGAGGCAUAAAAAAUAAGAGAGUUUAUAUGGAACUAGUUCUCACAGGAGAUUCAAUGACAUGAGUGGAAAGAACAGAAUUGUUUCUUCACUAUUCAAUAUACGCAAACUAUUUUACUAUGAAAUGUUUUAACAUACAGUGAAACUGAAAGAAUUUUUCAGUGAAUAUCUACAUACUCACCACUAUUUCUACUAUAAUUUUACCAUUUUUACGGUCUGUCCAUCUUUCUACCCUUCAAUUCUUCCAUUUCUUUUUGAUACAUUUCAAAGUAAAUUGCUUUCCACUAAAAGCUGUAUCAUGAAUUUUAAGGAUUAGAGUUCAGUAUUUGUUUACAAUAUUUUUCUUUUGAGGUAAAAUGUAUAUGUAAUGAAAUGCAAAAUCUCAUGUGUACAUUUGCUGAGUUUUGACAUACGCAGAUGUCUUCAUAACAAAACACUUAUCAAAUAUAGAACUUUCACAUCAUUCCAGGUUCCUUCAUGUCUAUUCCCAGUCAAUUCUCCUAAACACCCCCAGAGUCAACCACUGUUGUAAAGCUUUGAUGUUUUCCCAAGUAGAUUUUAUGUGCCUUUCUAAAACCUCAUAUAAAUGGGAGAGCACAGUGUUGAUUUGCAUAGGCCUUCUCUGAUUAAUGCUUCUGAAAGUCAUUUAUAUUGCUGAAUAGAUCAGUAAUAUAUUCCUCUUUAUUGCUGAGUAUUAUUCCCUUAUUUAGCCAUCCUCUGAGAGACAGACACUAGUACAACUAGAGCUGCUGUCAACAUUUUUGUAAAAUUCUUUUUGGAAACCUAUAUUUUCAUGUAUCCUGGGAAAAUAUUUAAGAGCGGAACUGCUGGGUUUUAGGGUAGUUGUAUGUUCAAAGAAAUUGGCAUAGUCUUUCUCAAAGUAAAUUACCAUUUUACACUCUCACCAAUAAUGUAUAAGAGCUUCACUUUCUCCAAAUCCUCCCCAUUAUUUGACAUUUUUGGUUUUGCUGUUCAGCUGGGUGUACAGGAGUAUCCCACUGUUCUGACAAUUUGGUGUUUAUUUUUUGGUGUCAGAAGAUAACCGCUCAUAACACUCAUAUAAAACAAUAAAAAUAGCACUUUUUUGCUGUUUUUUUUUUUUUUUUUUUUUGUAUGUUUACACAGCAUAUGGAAAUUCCCAGGCUAGAGGUUAAAUCAGAGCUGCAGCUGCUAGCCUAUGCCACAGCCACAGCAAUGAGGACCCAAGCCAUGCCUGCAACCUCACCUCAGUUCACCAAUGCCAGAUCCUUAACCCACAGAGCAAAGCCCGGGUUCAGACUCCCAUCCUCAUGGAUACCUAGUCAGGUUUUUAACACAAUGAGCCACAUCAGGAACUCCUAUAGUCUAUAAAUUUGUCUCCUCACCUAGCAUAAACUCCUUAUAGACAGGGGCCAUGUUGCAUUACUCUUUAUUUUUGCACUAGCAUUUAGCCCAGUGACUGUGUUCAAUAAAUGCUGGCUUAAUUUAAUUGAAUCAAAAAUGUUCCUGCUGGCAAUUCUAUCAGUGAAGAUACCAGAAUGGAAGUUUUUCUCUCACCUUCUCUUCGUUUUUUUAGGGGUUCAGUUGGCCAGUGGCAGUAUGAGUACACAGAAGAAUGACAGUCACAGUGGGGGAAAAACAGCAUGGUAUAUUCCCUCUGCAGACAGAUAGGGGCUGGCAAUCUACCCUGCCUAAUAUUUAGACAUAUAUUGCAGACCAAAACCUUGCAUAUAAGAUGAAAGUGUCAUGUUGAUUUUAUCAAUUUUAUUUCAGCCAUCUGGACUUUUGCUAAUAGAUACUACAGACUAUUGUGGUCAAUAGUCAGAAAGUAAAACAUAACUUCCAUGGAAUAACAAAGGGUAUUUUACUUCCUUAAGAACAGCAUGAAGCUGUAUACUAAAGGCUGUUUUACUUGUAUGCAGUAAUUCCCUGGAGAUGUAAUAAAAUUCUUGAAGUUUAUUAUUGCUAUAGUGACAUAUUAAACACACACAUACACAAUCUACACAGCUCUGGCUCAGAAGCAUCCUAAAAUAGUCGUGUACCAUGCUGCUGAAUUCAUUCAUGAGACUGAAGCAUUUUUGGUCAAUUCACUUCCAAGAGCAUUUGGAUGAAUAGCAAACUUCAUAAAAAGCUAUAAAGAUGAUAAAUACAGAAUGAUUUGUGAAAUUACAAUACAUCAAGAAAUUACUAUGACAAUGAAAUUCAUGGUAUGUCAGAAACAUUUUUAAGGAAAAAUAUUAUUAUUGGCAUCAGACUAAACAUUUUUUAGUCCACUUUACACUAGAACAGUAUUUUUCAAGCACCUCCUAGAUAUUAAUAUACAGCUAGGUACCAAUAUCUUAUAUAUGCCUUUCAGAAUAUGAUGUCUAAGAAAGAAGCAACUUUGCAUAUUAUAGUGUUUUUGAUGUUUUUUUCUCAUGCCUCUGCUAAGAUCUGAAAGACGAAGCUUUUCUCUUUUUUUUUUUUUUUUUUUUUUUGUCUUUUUAUUUUUUAGGGCUACACCCGUGGCAUACGGAGGUUCCCAGGCUGGGCAGCAAAUCGGAGCUGCAGCCACCAGCCACAGCCACAGCCAUGCGGGAUCUGAGCCAUGUCUGUGACCUACACCACAGCUCACGGCAACAUCAGGUCUUUAACCCACUGAGCAAGGCCAGGGAUUGAACCUGCAUCCUCAUGGAUGCUAGUCAGAUUUGUUUCCAUCAAGCCACGAUAGGAACUCCUGAAAGAUGAAGCUUUAAUCAGGAAAGGGGAAAGUGGUGAUGAAAAAAUACUGAAUGUCUACUGUGGCAGAAUCUGUAGUUGUCCACAAAAAGUUUUCUCUUCCUGGAAUGGUCUCUAUGAGACUGUUGAUGAGACAAGGGCUAAAUGUGGUAGCCCUCCAUAUUUCCAAGAAUAACCAGAUAUUGAUUCUCAGCAGAGGAAUGUGAAUGAAAGUGAUGUGUGCUACCUCCAGGUGAGGACUUAUAAAGAGAAGAUAAGACAUCUCCAGUGUCUUCUCUUCCCUAGACCUGAGUGUAGGGGAUUCCAAGGCCCUAGAGUUGUACAGCUACAAAGUGUAAGAAGCAAAUUGCCCAAACACGAGCAAGGAAAGCAGCCUCCUGAGCAAGAACACAUGCCUUGGAAGGUUAUAUCAGAGAGGACUUUCAUUUAGUUAAGUUCCUGAAGUUUUACCAAUUAUAAAACCAGUUACACCUCAGUGACUCCAAUAAUUUGACCAAGAGCACCCAGCUAAGAAAAAAAGGGGGAGAUUAGGAUUUUGACCCAGAGUUGCCUCGCUCCAAAUUUAGACUCUACCAAUUUUCCCAUAUAUCCCUGUAAAUCUUAACACAAAUUUUCCACAAGUGUUAACAAGCUUUAGAGAUAGGUCAGUCCAAACUUGCUAAUUUUACAAAAGAAAACUGUAGUAUGUGAUUUAACUAAGGUCACAUGGGUCUUUAAGCAACAAGUUUGGGAAAGUAAUCCAAUAUUUCCUCUCACUAUACUAUAAUAUAGAAGUGAGCAAUGUUUAUUAAAAAAUGCUCAACUCAUACAACAGUUAUAUAAGGAACAAAUGCUCAUUCUAUUUAGAACAUAUCCCUUACUUCAUCACAAAAACUUUGCCAUUGCUUAUUCAUCUAGGAUAGGAGGAGCUAUACGUAUAUACUUUCUCUUCCUGUUUAUCUUUCGUGUCUUCUGUUUUCUGUAUUUGGAAAUCUUCAACUCAUCUGAGUCAGUCACUUUUUGCCACUAUGUUUUAAUAAUGUCAUGCAUAAAAUACUAUAGAGUAAAAACAAAGUUCUUCAGCACAAUUCUAAGUUGUAGACACUAGACAAAAAGUUUAUGGUUCUUAUAAACUUAUUUUACACAUAAGGAAAUUGAAGUUUAGAGAUUUGAAUUUUUCUAAAUGUAUAAAACUAAUUAUUAACAAAGCUAAAAUUAUACAUAAGUAAUAUCUGCCUUUUUUUGCACUUAACGUUCUCAUGUGAAAAAUAAAAUACUAAUUAUUUACCCUUUUUGAUAACAUAACUACACUGAAGUCAAAAUCAAGAAAUUAAGAAAAAUAAUAGGGCAGUGAUUGUCAAUUUAGAUGUUCUCCAUGAUAAGGAGGAGGCAAUGGUAAUCAAAGAAAGUGUGAGAAAAAAAUAUGUAAAAUUUGCAUUAAUAUUCACAAAUAAAUGUUCAGUAUAAAACUACUUCCACUACUAACAUUUCAAAUAACAACUAUUUUUAUUACAUUCAUGAUUGUGUUGGGUGUAAAGUCUUUUCAAGGCUACUAAAAGAAGGCUUUGUUCUAGCUACUAGAAAGUAUAAGCCUCAUUUUUUUUCUUUCUCCCCACACAAUUUCCAUGAAGUACCAUCAAAACAGUGUUUCAGAAAGAACGAAACGUCCCACAAAACUCUUGCUCACUGUGCAAUU